This is a long non-coding RNA of Neofelis nebulosa (Clouded leopard), 677 nucleotides long. RefSeq lists it as uncharacterized. The record is from RefSeq and is a predicted model, not a curated record. NCBI's taxonomy places the organism in Eukaryota, Metazoa, Chordata, Mammalia, Carnivora, Felidae. The transcript is spliced from 4 exons.
GCAGGCUCCAGGCUCUGAGCUGUCAGCACAGAGCCUGACGUGGGGCUCGAACCCACAAACUGAGAUCAUGACCUGAGCCAAAGUCGGACGCUUAACUGACUGAACCACCCAGGCACCCCUUAUUUUGCAUUUAUAUGAUAAUCUCUUCUUGUUGUUGCUGUUCACAAUAAUCUUUUCAAAAUUUAGGGCCUCCAUAGGAAUUGGUACGGUCCUGUCACUGAGGCACCUGGCGUUGAUCUAACCCAAUCCUUUCUUUAAUAAAGGGAAAGCAAACAUUAAGAAAUUUAACCAAGAUUAUGUAAUUUGUAGUAAACCUGGAGCAUCUAUCCGUUGCCUUCACCCAGCCCAAGGCUCUGGACUGCCCCCCUGAGCCCUGCUUUAGAGACAUCCUCCUGAUGCUCCAUACCCAACCCAGCACUUCCCGGGGCCCACGAACAGUCUGCCACCAUGCCCAGUCUUUUAGAGUCACCUCCCCUUCCCUUUGGUCCAAUUAUCCUUCUCAUGAUCCUGGGAAGAAAAAAGGGGAGAAAUUGAAAUCCAGCUCAAUCAUGGAGAUACCAAAGAUCAGCACUGGAAAAAGAUAGGGCUGGGAGAUGGAGGAAAAAUACAGCCAUCUCAAAACAAACAGAAAAAAAAUAAAAGAACUCUAAAAAAGCCAAAAGAGAGAAAUGAAAGCG